Molecule: microRNA precursor, 99 nt
Filed under: Pongo abelii (Sumatran orangutan)
Lineage: Eukaryota; Metazoa; Chordata; Mammalia; Primates; Hominidae
Description: miRNA
Source: RNAcentral
CAGUACAUGAGAGCCAUCAUUUUUGUUGUUGUUAUAUUUUUCAGCAAGGCAAGGGCUUCGAUGUCUUUUAGGAAUAGUUGAAUUUGGCUUCAUAUGAUU